This is a long non-coding RNA of Pseudophryne corroboree (corroboree frog), 569 nucleotides long. RefSeq lists it as uncharacterized. The transcript has 3 exons. The record is from RefSeq and is a predicted model, not a curated record. Lineage: Eukaryota; Metazoa; Chordata; Amphibia; Anura; Myobatrachidae.
CAGAAGUCCGUGCAUGCAGGGAGAGGAACUUUUCUGCCUGAUGGUAAUGAGAGCACAGGACUCCCCUGCAUGCUGUGGCUGACAGAGACCCACUAUUCAAAACUCUGGCACAAAUGUUGGUAUGCCAGGAAAGGCUCUGCCUCACCUGCCUCACCCCACCGCACAUCACUGUAAUGAACACUCAGAUAAGAAAAGCUGGACCAAACCACUGCACCUGGACCAUGAGCCUGGAGCCGGCCCUGGCUACCCUGCUUGGAUUAGUUUGGCAAUAACAGCUGGAGUGCCUCAGGUUGCCUCAGCCAGCUUUACGCAAGACCCCUCCAGCGAAACGCGUCAGGACAGCUGCACCCCAGGAUACAAUUGGAUUCUCCACCUGAUAUACCCUUUCUUUUGGACUUUUGUCUCUGCCUCACCUGCCUCACCCAACCGCACGUCACUAUUGAACACCCAGAUUAGAAAAGCUGGACCAAACCACUGCACCUGGACCAAAUGGCGCCACCUAGGUCAGGCUAACUGGGAAUUAAGAAGCAUAGCAGUAGAUUUGCUGGGAUUUAUGUGGAAACCUGAUA